UGAGUCUAGGUGAACUCCGGGAGUUGGUGAUGGACAGGGAGGCCUGGCGUGCUGCGAUUCAUGGGGUCGUAAAGAGUCGGACACGGCUGAGUGACUGAACUAAACUGAACUGAACUGAGCUGUUUUCUUAAAAGUAAAGUGUGCCCAAUGAGAGUGUUUAAAAAGAUGAGUAAAUAAGAAUCAUUUUUCUUCAGAUAAGCCCUUAAGGAAAAUGAAAAAGGCCCACAGGCCGCAGAUCAGGCCUUGGGGUGAGUGGUUGUGCAGGGUCCUUCUGGAGCCCUGUCUGGGGGUCCCGCCUGCGGUGGGCAGCUGUGGUACCCCAGGGGAGGGUGUGAGACGCUGUGGGUUCUAUGCCUCAGGGGUGACUCUGGCUACUGCUCUGUCGCGAGAGGCUCUUAGAGAAGCAGAGAGAAUCUGCCUGCAUAGCACCUGGGACAGACAACUCCCAGAGUAGAAAAGUGAAGCUCCAAGACUCUGCGACAGCCAUGGCCGCUUCCCUGGCCCCCGACAGACAGACAUCUCAAAGUCGCAGCCGGGCAUCUCAGUGCGGCCGCCGCUCCUGAGCGCGGGCAUCUGUGAAUGUUUGCACCGGAGGCGAAGACACGCGGCGUCACCAAGACAGGAGCAAGGUGGGCAGGGAGCGCAGGAUCUGCGAGAGCGCAGGAUCUGUGAGUCCGCAGGCCCAGGGAGCGUCCUUCCCAGAGGCGGAGACGCUCCCAGGCUCAGCCUGUCUUUCACGGGGGGUCGGGCACUUCGUAGCUAGUAACAGAAGGGGUGGUGACACAGCUAAGUUUGGGAGGUAAACCACGGAACUCGUAAAGGUGGCUUCUCACCUGGGAGGCACACACCCACUGCACAGCUUCCUUGCAUGCCUGUGGGGCACGCUGGCCCAGGCUGGGGCUUCCGGGGAACCUGGACUUGGGCACAGACAGAAGCCACUCUUGGAAAUGGAGCCACACAGGGCAAUACAGCCCAGACCCUCGAGGGGCGCUCCUGCCGUCUCACGCGUCUGUGAGACAGUCUGAGAACACCCCAAGUACUGUCAGAGGACAGCUCCAUUCCUGCUUGCUGUUCUGCAAUCUCCCUGAAUUCUGUGGAUUUGUUUUUUUCUCAUCCAUGUUUGCAGUCAAAGACUUUGAAGAGUAAGCUGGGGUCAGAUGUGGUUCCCGACCCCGCUCCAUCCCUUACAGGCACCCAUGCUGGGCACGCCCCUCUCUUUACAAAGUGCCAGUUAUUCACAAACACAGAGAAUCCAGAAUCACUGAGCUGACACUGAGGGUGGUAGCACUUAGGAACAUUAAAAAUGCUUUAACUUAAGGAAAUCUAUUCCUGCUCAGUUCCUUACAAAUCUGAUUCCUACGGGACCCUGCAGCCUAAAACAAAGGCCCACACCGGAGAAGGAGAGGGGGCCCUGGGUGGCAGCAGCAUCUCAGGCUGGAUGAGCUCACGCCGCAGUGGGGAUGCGCGUUGCAGCAGAGGGGAGUGCGUGGGGGCCCCGCAGACGCCUGCUCUCCUUGUCGCCCAGACAGGCGGACGGAAGGAAGGACGGGUCUCUGCGGAAGCCGCCGACAUGCAGGGUCGGACAGAAGGACACGAGAGCUGACAGCUUGGGGCGCCGCAUGCACCAGGCUGCACCCCAUUAGCAGGAGGUGCUUACAGGGCAGACACGUAAGUGGCAGCAUCCGCACACACGUCUUAUCACAGGGCUCAGUGGUGCAUCAGGACCAGGAGGAACACAAGGCCUCCUUUCACAGCAUCUUAAAUUAAAAUGUGAGAGAGGAGAAAGCUGCCUGUCAGGAAGCAUCUCUGUCUCUUUGAGCGUGAGUGCUGUUUUGACAGCGCCCACUGGCUAGUGUCACCGGUGUCCUUGUAAACUUCCCUAGAAAUGGGCCGUCCCUCCCGCCCGACGGCCCUCCCUCUCAAUCUGCUCCUCCUGCAGGGCUUAAUUGAAUGUCUUGAUGCGGACCAAAAGGGUUAAUGGCAGAGCCCAAUCGCACAAUAUCUUGGAUUACAGACAGCCAGCGAGCACAGGCCGGCAGCAUGGCAACGGGCCGCACCGUGGGAACGCGGCCGACAAUGAUGGGAUUGACAGUGAGCGUGGAGAGGCCACCUUUGGGAGAGAUCGCAUCCCACAGCGAGCGGGGAAAGUGAGAAAUAGUAGCAGAUGCUGCGGGCGAUGAGCAACAGAUGCCUUCUGGCCGGGGCUGGCCAGCCAACCCGCUCCCACCGCCCGCAGGGAAGGGCCUCCCCGCCCCGCUGUGGAGGGAGGCAGCAAACACAAAUAUCGCAGAGGAAUUAAAAACAGCAGAUGGUGGCGGCAGGAUUUGAUGAGAUCAGGGUCAGGUACGGCACACACUUGGUGGCAGCAUUCAUCGCUGCCCUGGGGGAGCGGGGAACUCAGGCCCUGCCCAUGCUCAGCCUCGGGUGUGCUCGCCCGCCCCCCCGGCUGACCCCUGGACCGGCUCUGGGUGUCCCGUCACGUUUAGCAGAGUGCAGAGAGAACAUAUGUUGAAUAUUUUGUUAAUUCAAUUUGUGUUUAAAUAAUUGAUGUCAGCCGAUUCCAAAUGGGAAAACGUAAAAGCCGCCUAUGUUUGGUUUGAUACGUUGUCUCCCACCCUGUCGUGCACAGGGGGUUGUUUUCAUCACAAGACAAACCUUUGCCCCGUCAUCUCUGGCCACCGGGCCUGCAGCCCGGUCUGCCGCUGCCUGCUGCCGGCGUUCAGGACCCCCAGGAAGUCCGGGCAGAGCGGGUGGGCACCUACCUUGGAGGCCUCCUGUGGGGGCGGUGUGGCUCCGCAGGGCUCCGUGUGUGCCCGCUGCCACGUGUGUGCAGGGCCUCACAGGCUGGAGCAGCUGGUGUGUGCCUGUGUUGUGUGAGGACACGUGGACACGGCACAACGUGCCUCACAAAACCCAGUUUGAAAAACUUUCAGAACCGAGUUGAGAAACCCUCUGAGCUCACAUCCAGGGUCCACGGUCAUGGACCGCACUCAAGGUGUGUCCACUGUUCCCUCCCCACUCGGGUACCCCAGGGGCGGAGGUCUGCGGCUGUGCGAGCUGGCGGGUGCGCAGGCCUCCACCCUGCACCGCGCAGAGAGUGCACAGAGGCUGAACCCUCGCCCAGGCAGAGAAAGUGCCUCUCCUCGAGGAAGGAAGCCUAGAGAUGGUUUUUACACUUAAAAAUAAAAAGUAUGGCUUGUUUCAAUUCAAAAGUAAUAGCCGCUCACUUAGAAACAGAGGCAAGAAGAAAACAGCUGUGUUCGGCAUCCCCAGGCUGUCCUGGUCACGCUGUGGCUACGUUCUUUCCACCUUUCUUUCCCACGCACCUUUAUUGCUUAUAGAUUAUGUAUCAGUUUAAGGUAUUUACAGGAUUAUUAUUUUGUAUCUUGAUGUUUUGCAUUAUGUAUGAUGUAACCGCUUCUCUGCCCUUCAAGUAUUAUCUUGUUUGUAUAAUAUUCUAUUGAGUUGAUAGACUUUUAAACAUUUUCUCUUAAAAAUAUUUAUUUGAAUAUUUGAAUUGGUAAAAUCAUUUAGUUUUAUAGAUAAUGCUGCCAUGAAUGUGUUUUGAAAAUAAUCUUAGAGCUCAGUUUGUUUGCUUAGGCUAAUUUCCCAGGAGUGGAAGAGGGUAGAUGAACAACAUGAGAAAGCCAAUUUCCUGCUCAUAAAGGCAGCGCAUGUUCACUGGGAAGGAGAGAAACUUAGACCAACGGAAAAGGAGAGUGAGAGGCAAGCAGGCUCCAUGCGUGUUACAUAAACUUUCAUCAAAAUCGGGGUUGUCCACUCUUGCAGCCAGUUUUUCAAAAGAAUUGUGGCAAGAAACCCGCAUAAUGUAAAUACCCUCCCAAUAAUUUCCAAGUUGUCACCAUACACGCUGCCAUACAAUGAGCUUCCGAGCUAGUGUGAGCACACCUAUGUCAUUAACUCUAUUCUAAAGUAGAAUUUUAUAAAGUCUACAGAGUAUUCUUUCAUACAGAUGUUUUGUAAUUUUUAGCUAAUCCCCUUUUGUUGGUUAUUAAUGUCCUGUCUAUUAAUAUUACUAAAUAAAAUCAUAAAGAAUGUCCUAGUAUAAACAUUGUUGUAAAAAACUUAUUAUUUCUUUGAGAUACAUUUUAGGAAGUGGAAUUAGUGGUUUAAAGCAGCAUUGCAUUGUUUUAUUGUCCUCCAAAAUGUAAGCUUGUGCAUUUUUCCUAGCAGCAUUUGACAAUGUGUAUGUCCUAUAUUCUUGCUAAUAAUAAAUAUAGAUAGUUUAAAUUUUUCCAAA
Long non-coding RNA from Bubalus bubalis (water buffalo), 4261 nucleotides. RefSeq lists it as uncharacterized. Lineage: Eukaryota; Metazoa; Chordata; Mammalia; Artiodactyla; Bovidae. The transcript has 2 exons. The record is from RefSeq and is a predicted model, not a curated record.